CAGCAGCCACGGUAAUACAGAGGGUGCGAGCGUUAAUCGGAUUUACUGGGCGUAAAGCGUGCGUAGGCGGCUUUUUAAGUCGGAUGUGAAAUCCCUGAGCUUAACUUAGGAAUUGCAUUCGAUACUGGGAAGCUAGAGUAUGGGAGAGGAUGGUAGAAUUCCAGGUGUAGCGGUGAAAUGCGUAGAGAUCUGGAGGAAUACCGAUGGCGAAGGCAGCCAUCUGGCCUAAUACUGACGCUGAGGUACGAAAGCAUGGGGAGCAAACAGGAUUAGAUACCCCGUUGUCCCUGUCUCUUAUACA
This 301-nucleotide ribosomal RNA is filed under the name uncultured bacterium. RNAcentral describes it as "partial 16S ribosomal RNA". It matches the Rfam family "Bacterial small subunit ribosomal RNA", at positions 509 to 808 of the family's 1533-position model. The record is from RNAcentral.